AGUUAUAGCUGAAUUUGAUCUACUAAAGACACUAAUAUUACACUUGGUAUUGACAAAUUUAGUAUAAUCUUUCACUCAUCCUAUUACAUCUAAAACUGAAUUCCUCUUUAAUUAAUAGCCAACAAAAUUUUUAAUUCUAUAGAUCUUCUUCACAUUGUAAGCUUUUUAUUAAUUGCUCAUCUACUACAUUUAUCCCCUUUUCACUUGGCAUAUUAUCAUCAUGUCUGUUGCUGCUAAACCCCAAC
This 245-nucleotide long non-coding RNA is filed under the name Elaeis guineensis (African oil palm). RNAcentral's name for it is "long non-coding RNA (EGUI_LNC063556)". Lineage: Eukaryota; Viridiplantae; Streptophyta; Magnoliopsida; Arecales; Arecaceae. The record is from RNAcentral.